AAUAUUGAACAAGGGGGGGACCCCUGAUCAAGCCAUCCCGCGUGGUUAAAGAAGGCCUUGGGUUUUAAAGGCACUUUAGUUUGGGGGGAAGGGCAGUAAGUAAAUCCUUGCCUGUUUUGCGUUAACCACAGGAAAAAGCACCGCCUACUUUCUUCCCAGCGGCCGCGGUAAUACGAAGGGUGCAAGCGUUAAUCGGAAUUACUGGGCGUAAAGCGCGCGUAGGUGGUUUGUUAAGUUGGAAGUGAAAGCCCCGGGCUCAACCUGGGAACUGCUUUCAAAACUGGCAAGCUAGAGUAUGGCAGAGGGUGGUGGAAUUUCCUGUGUAGCGGUGAAAUGCGUAGAUAUAGGAAGGAACAUCAGUGGCGAAGGCGACUACCUGGACUGAUACUGACACUGAGGUGCGAAAGCGUGGGGAGCAAACAGG
RNAcentral lists this ribosomal RNA (424 nucleotides) under uncultured bacterium. RNAcentral describes it as "partial 16S ribosomal RNA". It matches the Rfam family "Bacterial small subunit ribosomal RNA", at positions 360 to 776 of the family's 1533-position model. The record is from RNAcentral.